CUAUGGAGGAAGCUACCUCGGUCUCCAAGCAGUUGUCUGUAAACAGCGCUGUGUGCUGGGACAAGGGAAAUGAAAUCCCAAGCUGUGUGUCUGCUAAAGGAGAAUGUGCUCCAGCUCUUCUUUGUCUGGGAAGCAGACAGGAAGGUGCCUUUCAGCCUGUGAUGGUUGAGAAUAGUGCAGUUGUCUCAGAGUUGGUUCUGGAUUCAACUAAAGCCCAGGAAGGAAAUGGUCCUAAGUUUGUGUCUGCUGGGGAGAAUGGCACUGUAACUAGGUUGCAUCCAGUUAGUGUCUUAGCAAAAUCCCAGAGACCAGACAAUUCUGGUGCUUGUAUUUUGCCUGUUGCUAAUGUGCAGUUGGAAAAGGGUGUAGCAACUCUGUCUGAUCAGGGUAAUAUCCUAGCCAGGGCACAAGGAAAACAUGAAGGUAAUUUGAUGGUGUCACCUACUGACAAUUUGACAACUUGUCGCAAGAAGGAAAAGAUUCCUGAGUUUGUGUGGGGCAAAGGGAAGGAGAAUGCUUCUGACCUUUCAUCUAGUGAGUCUAUGGGUUUGCCUGAAAGGGGAUUGUGUAGGAAUCUGCCUGAUGGGCCAAAGGUGAUCCUGGAUGUAAGUAAGACCCAGAAAAAGUCUGUUGCUGCUCAGGAAAGUGUGCCUUUAGAGCAAGCCCUAGGUGAAGAGGGUAAGGGCAGAAUUUCUGGGAAGGGUGAAUUGUUGCUUAGAAAAGUUGCUAGGGAAAGGAACCCUCAUGGUAAUCUGUGCAAGCAGCUUGAUACAGCUAAAGGGUGUGAAAGUGAUUUAAUCAAGGAAAUUUUCAGUUCCUAACAGCCAGAAAUUUUCUGUUGUAAAUGGAUCCACCGACUUUCCUUUUGAAAGGUCUAGUGUGGAUAGCUUUGAAAAGGUCUCAAAUGGAGUGAAAGCUGUUAAGAAAGUUGAACAGUCCUAUAACCAAGUGGCUGUGUUUGGCUAGCUUGUUGGGGGAGACAAGGUUGUUGAGAGAAUGGAAUGUCUCCAUGCUGAUUCUGUAAGUGAACAGACUGUGUCUCAGGUUCAAAGGGAAAACUGGGUAGCUGAGUCUGCAGGG
This 1080-nucleotide long non-coding RNA is filed under the name Chrysemys picta bellii (western painted turtle). Its description in RNAcentral is "lncRNA (ENSCPBG00000013261.1)". Lineage: Eukaryota; Metazoa; Chordata; Testudines; Emydidae. The record is from RNAcentral.